GACGAACGCUGGCGGCGUGCUUAACACAUGCAAGUCGAACGGAAAGGCCCUGCUUUUGUGGGGUGCUCGAGUGGCGAACGGGUGAGUAACACGUGAGUAACCUGCCCUUGACUUUGGGAUAACUUCAGGAAACUGGGGCUAAUACCGGAUAGGAGCUCCUGCUGCAUGGUGGGGGUUGGAAAGUUUCGGCGGUUGGGGAUGGACUCGCGGCUUAUCAGCUUGUUGGUGGGGUAGUGGCUUACCUAGGCUUUGACGGGUAGCCGGCCUGAGAGGGUGACCGGCCACAUUGGGACUGAGAUACGGCCCAGACUCCUACGGGAGGCAGCAGUGGGGAAUAUUGCACAAUGGGCGGAAGCCUGAUGCAGCAACGCCGCGUGCGGGAUGACGGCCUUCGGGUUGUAAACCGCUUUCGCCUGUGACGAAGCGUGAGUGACGAUAAUGGGUAAAGAAGCACCGGCUAACUACGUG
This 468-nucleotide ribosomal RNA is filed under the name uncultured bacterium. Its description in RNAcentral is "partial 16S ribosomal RNA". It matches the Rfam family "Bacterial small subunit ribosomal RNA", at positions 28 to 507 of the family's 1533-position model. The record is from RNAcentral.